CGUGCAUAUUGCAAAGGAGAGAGGAGAAAAAGCAUAUACAUACAUAUAUGUAUAAUAUACUACUCACAGUAAAACGCUUCAAAACUAACCUCCAUCCGUCGCACUUAAUGACUCCGGGUUAUCUAGUCACAAAUAUACAAAUUAGAGUUUAUAAAUUUUCUAUUUCUAAUUAACAAUCAUCAAACUAUGUUUUGUUCACCGUCUCAAUUUCUAUUUUCUAGGUCCGUACUUCUACCUCAACUCUGAAUAAUUUCAUGAUAGGGUUAGUAGCUAAUCUUUAAUUUUAUUAAGUUGCAUGGUGGAGUUACUUCAAAAGUAAUGUUUGGCAGAGAUGAGGUAGAAGUACUCACAUAGAAAUAGAAAUUGAGAUAGUUAACAAAAUAAGAAAAUAAAAAAAAAAAAAAAAGUUAAAUUUAGCUCAAGAAUAGACAACUUAGCUUUUCAAGUAUCAGCUUCUAACUGAUGAUCAGUUCUUCAACAUAACAUGUGCCGAGGCAAACCUCAUGUUCUUCGAGCUCCAAUCUUCAAGCACAUACCAUUUUUAACAAAUUAGAGUUUAUAAAUUUUGUAUUUCUAAUUAACAAUCAUCAAACUAUAUUUUUGUUCACUGUCUCAAUCUCUAUUUCCUAGGUUCGUACCUCUACCUCGUCUCUAAAUAAUUUCAUGAUAGGGUUAGUAGCUAAUCUUUAAUUUUAUUAAGUUGCAUGGUGGAGUUACUUCAAAAGUAAUGUUUGGUAGAGAUGAGGUAGAAGUACUGAUAUAGAAAUAGAAAUUGAGACAGUGAACAAAUUAAGAAAAUUAAAAAAGUUAUAUUUAGCUCAAGAAUAAACGACUUAGCUUUUCAAGUAUCAGCUUCUAACCCAUCAUCAGUUCUUCAACUUAACUUGUGCCGAGGCAAACCUUAUGUUCUUCGAGCUCCAAUCUUCAAGCACAAACCAUUUUUAACAAAUUAGAUUUUAUAAAUUUUCUAUUUAUAAUUAACAAUCAUCACACUAUAUUACAAACAAUUCAAUUCAAACAUAAAACAAUUCAAACAAAAAUAUUAAAAAAACCCAACAUGACUUUUGGAGUGACUCCACCAUGCAACUUAAUAAAAUUAAAGAUUAGCUACUAACCCUAUAAUGAAAUUACUUAGAAAUGAGGUAGAGGUACUAACCUUAGAAAUAUAAAUUGAGAUAGUGAACAUAAUAAGAAAAUUGAAAAGCUAUAUUUAGCUAAAGAAUAAAUAACUUAACUUUUCAAGUAUCACCUUCUAACUAAUCAUCAGUUCUUCAACUUAACUUGUGCCGACGCAAACCUUAUGUUCUUCGAGCUCCAACCUUCAAGCGCGUGCCAUUUUUAACAAAUUAGAGUUUAUAAAUUUUCUAUUUCUAAUUAACAG
This 1381-nucleotide long non-coding RNA is filed under the name Ricinus communis (castor bean). RNAcentral describes it as "long non-coding RNA (RCOM_LNC003515)". The record is from RNAcentral. Lineage: Eukaryota; Viridiplantae; Streptophyta; Magnoliopsida; Malpighiales; Euphorbiaceae.